Molecule: ribosomal RNA, 881 nt
Filed under: uncultured Acidobacteriota bacterium
Lineage: Bacteria; Pseudomonadati; Acidobacteriota
Description: bacterial SSU rRNA
Rfam family: Bacterial small subunit ribosomal RNA
Source: RNAcentral
CAAGUCGAGUGCGCGUCUGUAGCAAUACAGAUGGCGCACGGCGCACGGGUGCGUAACACGUGGGCAAUCUGCCCUUCGAUGGGGAAUAACUCCGGGAAACCGAAGCUAAUUCCGCAUAACAUUCUUUGGACUCCGGUUCGAGGAUUCAAAGCCGUAAGGCGUCGAAGGAGGAGCCCGCGCCCGAUUAGCUAGUUGGUGAGGUAACGCCUCACCAAGGCAAUGAUCGGUAGCUGGUCUGAGAGGAUGGCCAGCCACACUGGAACUGAGACACGGUCCAGACUCCUACGGGAGGCAGCAGUGGGGAAUCUUGCGCAAUGGGCGAAAGCCUGACGCAGCGACGCCGCGUGGGGGAUGAAGCAUUUCGGUGUGUAAACCCCUUUCGACUGGGACGAAUGCCUCGCAAGAGGAGUGACGGUACCAGUAGAAGAAGCCCCGGCUAACUACGUGCCAGCAGCCGCGGUAAGACGUAGGGGGCCAGCGUUGUUCGGAAUUACUGGGUGUAAAGGGUUCGUAGGCGGUGUGGCAAGUCGGGAGUGAAAUCUAUGGGCUUAACUCAUAGGCUGCUUCCGAAACUGCUGUGCUUGAGUGUGGGAGAGGCGCGUGGAAUUGCAGGUGUAGCGGUGAAAUGCGUAGAUAUCUGCAGGAACACCCGUGGCGAAAGCGGCGCGCUGGACCACAACUGACGCUGAGGAACGAAAGCUAGGGGAGCAAACAGGAUUAGAUACCCUGGUAGUCCUAGCCCUAAACGAUCAGGACUUGGGGUGCCACCCGUUCGGGUGUCGUCCCGGAGCUAACGCGUUAAGUCCUGCACCUGGGGAGUACGGUCGCAAGACUGAAACUCAAAGGAAUUGACGGGGGCCCGCACAAGCGGUGGAACAUGU